UAAGUAGAUGAUUAUUUAUAUAUUAGUAGUAAAAGGUGAAAUUAGGUUGCUACUGUGUAUAUACUUUAUUUAAGUUAAUUGAAGCUAGUAAAUUUUAAUUAUAGACUAGGAUUAGAUACCCUAUUAUUUUAAAAUGAAUAAUAAAAGAACUGAUUAGUGUUAGAUAUAUGCUUUAAAAUUAAAAGAUUUGGCGGUAGUUUAAUCUUGUUAGAGGAACUUGUUUUUGAAUCGAUAAUCCACGUAUAAUCUUACUUAUUUUUGUAUAGUAUUUCAGCUUGUAUACCAUCAUUAUCAGGUAAUUCUAAAAGGAUGAAUUUCUUAGUUUAAUUGUUUAGUAAAAUUAGAUCAAGGUGCAGCUUAUGAAUAAGUUAAAAUGAGUUACAAUAAAUUAUUUUAUAACGGAAUAAAAAUAUAAUUGUUUUAUGAAGGGGGAUUUAAUUGUAGUGGAUGGAUUAAUAAGCAUUCGCGAAAUAAGCUCUAAACUAUGUACAUAUCGCCCGUCGCUUUCAUUCAUAGAU
RNAcentral lists this ribosomal RNA (518 nucleotides) under Xenophthalmus pinnotheroides. Its description in RNAcentral is "partial 12S ribosomal RNA". Lineage: Eukaryota; Metazoa; Arthropoda; Malacostraca; Decapoda; Xenophthalmidae. The record is from RNAcentral.